RNAcentral lists this ribosomal RNA (914 nucleotides) under uncultured bacterium. RNAcentral's name for it is "bacterial SSU rRNA". It matches the Rfam family "Bacterial small subunit ribosomal RNA", at positions 8 to 882 of the family's 1533-position model. The record is from RNAcentral.
AGAGUUUGAUCCUGGCUCAGGACGAACGCUGGCGGCGUGCUUAAUACAUGCAAGUCGAACGCACUUUCGUUAGAUUGAAGAAGCUUGCUUCUGAUUGAUAACAUUUGAGUGAGUGGCGGACGGGUGAGUAACACGUGGGUAACCUGCCCUAAAGUGGGGGAUAACAUUUGGAAACAGAUGCUAAUACCGCAUAAAACCUAGCACCGCAUGGUGCAAGGUUGAAAGAUGGUUUCGGCUAUCACUUUAGGAUGGACCCGCGGUGCAUUAGUUAGUUGGUGAGGUAAAGGCUCACCAAGACCGUGAUGCAUAGCCGACCUGAGAGGGUAAUCGGCCACACUGGGACUGAGACACGGCCCAGACUCCUACGGGAGGCAGCAGUAGGGAAUCUUCCACAAUGGACGAAAGUCUGAUGGAGCAACGCCGCGUGAGUGAAGGAGGUUUUCGGAUCGUAAAACUCUGUUGUUGGAGAAGAACGUAUUUGAUAGUAACUGAUCAGGUAGUGACGGUAUCCAACCAGAAAGCCACGGCUAACUACGUGCCAGCAGCCGCGGUAAUACGUAGGUGGCAAGCGUUGUCCGGAUUUAUUGGGCGUAAAGCGAGCGCAGGCGGUUUCUUAAGUCUGAUGUGAAAGCCUUCGGCUCAACCGAAGAAGUGCAUCGGAAACUGGGAAACUUGAGUGCAGAAGAGGACAGUGGAACUCCAUGUGUAGCGGUGAAAUGCGUAGAUAUAUGGAAGAACACCAGUGGCGAAGGCGGCUGUCUGGUCUGUAACUGACGCUGAGGCUCGAAAGCAUGGGUAGCAAACAGGAUUAGAUACCCUGGUAGUCCAUGCCGUAAACGAUGAGUGCUAGGUGUUGGAGGGUUUCCGCCCUUCAGUGCCGCAGCUAACGCAUUAAGCACUCCGCCUGGGGAGUA